UAGAUAUUUCGAAACUGAGAUUUUAAAUUGAUUGUUGUUGUCCUGACUAGUUAUUACCUCCUAUAGACAAAACAAAGAUAUAUCAAAAGAAAUCAAAUCUUAUAUCUUCAGAGGCAAUCUGAUACAAGGCGUCAACAAACCUGAAGAUCCAUGAUCGAUUCCUGCAGGCUAUCAAGAAUAAGGAAAGCAACCAUUCGCUUACUACUUAAGACAUCCCUAACACAGCGCUUCAAGUUCUCCUGCAUACAUAGUGCAUAAACACAAAAAACAAGCACCUUCUCAUGUAGCCGGCCAUCCCCAAUAAUUAGAACAAGUUGCUGUAGAGGGUUUUGUCCAGAAGGAAGUCUUGCAUUUGUAACUGCAGCAUCCAACUUCUUAUUUAAAAACCUCAACAGAUCAACAACUGGUUCAUCCGUGAUAGUAU
Gossypium arboreum is the source of this 424-nucleotide long non-coding RNA. RefSeq lists it as uncharacterized. The transcript is spliced from 2 exons. The record is from RefSeq and is a predicted model, not a curated record. NCBI's taxonomy places the organism in Eukaryota, Viridiplantae, Streptophyta, Magnoliopsida, Malvales, Malvaceae.